AGCAGCCGCGGUAAUUCCAGCUCCAAUAGCGUAUAUUAAAGUUGUUGCAGUUAAAAAGCUCGUAGUUGAAUUUCGGGGUUAGUAGGUUGGUCAUGCCUCUGGUAUGUACUGGUCUCACUGAUUCCUCCUUCCUGAUGAACCUUAAUGCCAUUAAUUUGGUGUUUUGGGGAAUUUGGACUGUUACUUUGAAAAAAUUAGAGUGUUUAAAGCAAGCUAACGCUUGAAUACAUUAGCAUGGAAUAAUGAAAUAGGACGUUUGAUUCUAUUUUGUUGGUUUCUAGGAUCAACGUAAUGAUUAAUAGGGAUAGUUGGGGGCAUUAGUAUUCAAUUGUCAGAGGUGAAAUUCUUGGAUUUAUUGAAGACUAACUACUGCGAAAGCAUUUGCCAAGGAUGUUUUCAUUAAUCAAGAACGAAAGUUAGGGGAUCGAAGACGAUCGGAUACCGUCGUAGUCUUAACCAUAAACUAUGCCGACUAGGGAUCGGAUGAUGUUAAUUUUUUAAUGACUCAUUCGGCGCCUUACG
This 522-nucleotide ribosomal RNA is filed under the name uncultured Glomeromycotina. Its description in RNAcentral is "SSU rRNA". It matches the Rfam family "Eukaryotic small subunit ribosomal RNA", at positions 569 to 1092 of the family's 1831-position model. Lineage: Eukaryota; Fungi; Glomeromycota. The record is from RNAcentral.